Long non-coding RNA from Leopardus geoffroyi (Geoffroy's cat), 1058 nucleotides. RefSeq lists it as uncharacterized. The transcript has 2 exons. The record is from RefSeq and is a predicted model, not a curated record. NCBI's taxonomy places the organism in Eukaryota, Metazoa, Chordata, Mammalia, Carnivora, Felidae.
GAGAUGGGAACGGUUCAGUCAUUCGAUCACUCCGCACUCUGCAAAUGCGUAUCAUUUCCACCAAUGUGCUCGGUGUGGAUUUUUGUAGGGAAGACCCUUUCUUUUCUGCUUUUUGAAAGGAUUCACUAAUGGAUUCCCUGGGGUGUUCCAUGCAAAGUUUCCCAAAGCUUAUAAGGUAAAAGACUAAUUCUAUGAGGGCUUAAUAGGCAUUUGGGGAAGUCUAUGCACAAAUUAACCUGGAAAUCACUGAUUAAACAACACUUCCUUAGAAGAUCACUGAUUAAAGAAACUCAACAACGAAGGAUUUUCUUAAGUAUGGGCGUUUUCAAAGUUUGUAAUUGGCUAAAGUAUAUUUGAGUCUCCCAGCAGAGUAUAAAGCAUGCAGUCUUUCCCCAAAGUUAUGAGCGAGAGUUCUAAGAAAAACUGUCUUGGAAACACUUCCCCAGUAUAUUUGGUUGACUCAUAUGAAAUUGCCAACCCACGGCUGUUUUUUUAUCUACAAAACGGCAUUUCCAUAUGGUUCAACCUGACGUGCACAGCAGGGUUUUUCUCAAGUGUUUUGUGACUCCUUUAUCUGAUUUCAUAAUGUGAUGGGGUUCGUAGGCCCCGAGCCCCUUAAAGGGUACUUGACGUGUUGUCUUUUAUGUGCUCACUGUUAGAGCUGGAAAUGGUCCUGGGGAGGCGUGGCCCAGAUGGCUACUCUCUGCCCAAACCUGUGCCUGUCCUUCCAUACUGUGGAGUCAAUUGAAGCAGCCACGUGAGGGAGAAAGAAACGGAUUACUUUAAGCCACGGAAGCUUGGGAGGUGUUGUUGACAUCGCGGAAAGAAGUGUCGAUGUAACCAACACAGUAAAGUUGGGAGCAGGUGGUGAGAGCGGCCGUCCAGGGCCCUGAAGGUGGGUAAGAGGAUAGAGCAAAAGAGGACCACCCUCAGCAAGGCUCACACGACAAAAGGGUCACCAGUCAGGAUGGCCGGACCGGGCUCACGCGCGCAGAAGCUCUCUUAGUCAAUGGGGGCUGCUACAACAAAAUGCCAUCAAUGGAGUCACUUAAAAACAA